Molecule: ribosomal RNA, 460 nt
Filed under: uncultured bacterium
Lineage: Bacteria
Description: partial 16S ribosomal RNA
Rfam family: Bacterial small subunit ribosomal RNA
Source: RNAcentral
CCUACGGGUGGCAGCAGUGAGGAAUAUUGGUCAAUGGGCGCGAGCCUGAACCAGCCAAGUCGCGUGAGGGAGGACGGCCCUACGGGUUGUAAACCUCUUUUGCCGGGGAGCAACGGGCGUCACGUGUGGCGCCCCUGAGAGUACCCGGAGACAAGGCAUCGGCUACCUCCGUGCCAGCAGCCGCGGUAAUACGGAGGAUGCGAGCGUUAUCCGGAUUUAUUGGGUUUAAAGGGUGCGUAGGCGGAUCGGUAAGUCAGUGGUCAAAUUGAGGGGCUCAACCCCUUCCCGCCAUUGAAACUGGCGUUCUUGAGUGGGAGAGAAGUAAGCGGAAUGCGUGGUGUAGCGGUGAAAUGCAUAGAUAUCACGCAGAACCCCGAUUGCGAAGGCAGCAUGCCGGAUUCCGACUUACGCUGAAGCACGAAAGCGUGGGGAUCGAACAGGAUUAGAUACCCGUGUAGUC